AUACCUCGGAGAGUUUGAUCCUGGCUCAGGACGAACGCUGGCGGCGUGCCUAAUACAUGCAAGUCGAGCGGACAGAAGGGAGCUUGCUCCCGGAUGUUAGCGGCGGACGGGUGAGUAACACGUGGGUAACCUGCCUGUAAGACUGGGAUAACUCCGGGAAACCGGAGCUAAUACCGGAUAGUUCCUUGAACCGCAUGGUUCAAGGAUGAAAGACGGUUUCGGCUGUCACUUACAGAU
RNAcentral lists this ribosomal RNA (237 nucleotides) under Bacillus altitudinis. RNAcentral describes it as "16S rRNA. Bacterial SSU". It matches the Rfam family "Bacterial small subunit ribosomal RNA", at positions 1 to 226 of the family's 1533-position model. Lineage: Bacteria; Bacillati; Bacillota; Bacilli; Caryophanales; Bacillaceae. The record is from RNAcentral.